Molecule: unclassified non-coding RNA, 229 nt
Filed under: plant metagenome
Description: partial contains small subunit ribosomal RNA, internal transcribed spacer 1, and 5.8S ribosomal RNA
Source: RNAcentral
UCUCCGUAGGUGAACCUGCGGAGGGAUCAUUACAGAGUUCAUGCCCUACCGGGUAGAUCUCCCACCCUAUGUUAUUGUUACUUUGUUGCUUUGGCGGGCCGUUAGGCUCCGGCCCGACUACCGGCCCCGGCUGGUAAGCGCCCGCCAGAGGACCCAAAACCCUGAAUAUUAGUGUCGUCUGAGUACUAUAUAAUAGUUAAAACUUUCAACGACGGAUCUCUUGGUUCUG